This 1170-nucleotide ribosomal RNA is filed under the name Chaetothyriales sp. RNAcentral's name for it is "eukaryotic LSU rRNA". It matches the Rfam family "Eukaryotic large subunit ribosomal RNA", at positions 1 to 1434 of the family's 3401-position model. The record is from RNAcentral. Lineage: Eukaryota; Fungi; Ascomycota; Eurotiomycetes; Chaetothyriales.
UUGACCUCGGAUCAGGUAGGGAUACCCGCUGAACUUAAGCAUAUCAAUAAGCGGAGGAAAAGAAACCAACAGGGAUUGCCUCAGUAACGGCGAGUGAAGCGGCAACAGCUCAAAUUUGAAAUCUGGCCUUCGGGUCCGAGUUGUAAUUUGUAGAGGAUGUUUUGGGUACCGCCGCAGUUUAAAUUUCUUGGAACAGAAUGUCAGAGAGGGUGAGAAUCCCGUCUGGAACUGCGGUAGGGCCUAUGUAAAACUCCUUCGACGAGUCGAGUUGUUUGGGAAUGCAGCUCAAAAUGGGUGGUAAAUUUCAUCUAAAGCUAAAUAUUGGCCAGAGACCGAUAGCGCACAAGUAGAGUGAUCGAAAGAUGAAAAGCACUUUGAAAAGAGAGUUAAACAGUAUGUGAAAUUGUUGAAAGGGAAGCGCUUGCAACCAGACUUGUGUGUGGCGGUUCCCCCUUGCUUCUGCUUGGGCUACUCCGUCAUAUCCAGGCCAACAUCGGUUCUAGGGGCUGGUUAAAGGCCUUGGGAAUGUAUCUACCCCCGGGUAGACUUAUAGCCCAGGGUGUCAUGCGGCCACCCAGGACCGAGGAACGCGCUUCGGCGAGGAUGUUGGCGUAAUGGUUGUCAGCGACCCGUCUUGAAACACGGACCAAGGAGUCUAACAUCUAUGCGAGUGUUUGGGUGUCAAACCCGUACGCGAAAUGAAAGUGAACGGAGGUAGGAAGCCUUUUAGGCUGCACUAUCGACCGAUCCUGAUAUUUAUGGAUGGAUUUGAGUAAGAGCAUAGCUGUUGGGACCCGAAAGAUGGUGAACUAUGCCUGAAUAGGGUGAAGCCAGAGGAAACUCUGGUGGAGGCUCGCAGCGGUUCUGACGUGCAAAUCGAUCGUCAAAUUUGGGUAUAGGGUAAGUCCUUAUUUUCAUUCUUUUGUUUUUGUUGUACCCGGGUUGUAUUCCAUUAAGGCCCUAACAGCUCGCUAUAAUAAUUGGCCUGGGCUGCUUAGCCAAAUUUUAGAAUAUCUUGUUAUUAUCUAUUACAAACAAUUGCUAACGGUAUUCUUAACAGGGCGAAAGACUAAUCGAACCAUUGCAUGACAAGCACGUAAAAAAAGGUCAAUUUUAUUCCGUCGUAUAUGAGUGCGCGUGGAGUGUCUGUCGUUGGGUCAUGGCAGACGC